AGUAAAAGUCGUAACAAGGUUUCCGUAGGUGAACCUGCGGAAGGAUCAUUACCGAGCGCGAGGCCACGCAGGGCGCCAGCCCCGCGUGGCCGACCCUCCACCCGUGCUGAUAUAUCAGGCUGCUCUGGCGGGCCUGCCGGCCCCGGCCGGGAGCGCCCGCCAGAGACGCCCCAACUCGUGCUGUCAGUGAUGUCUGAGUUGCAAUUAAUAAAGUAAAACUUUCAACAACGGAUCUCUUGGCUCUGGCAUCGAUGAAGAACGCAGCGAAAUGCGAUAAGUAAUGUGAAUUGCAGAAUUUAGUGAAUCAUCGAAUCUUUGAACGCACAUUGCGCCCCCCGGUAUUCCGAGGGGCACGCCUGUUCGAGCGUCAUAACAACCCCUCAAGCCUGGCUUGGUCCUGGGGCUCGCCCGCUGGGCGGCCCUUAACACAGUGGCGGCGCCGUCGUGCUCUACGCGUAGUAAUUCUUCUCGCGACAGGGCGCUGACGGGGCCUGCCGAAGCUCCUUCUCUCGGUUGACCUCGGAUCAGGUAGGGAUACCCGCUGAACUUAAGCAUAUCAAUAAGCGGAGGA
RNAcentral lists this ribosomal RNA (571 nucleotides) under uncultured fungus. RNAcentral describes it as "eukaryotic LSU rRNA". The stretch from base 217 to 370 matches the Rfam family "5.8S ribosomal RNA". The record is from RNAcentral. Lineage: Eukaryota; Fungi.